GGUCAGACGGAUCGAGGUGAUGGCUUUGUCCCUGCUCCUCGGGCUCUUGCUGCUCUGGGUCUCAGACUCCAAUGGGCAGAUUGUGGUCACUCAGACUCCAGACGCCCAGUCUGAGUUUCCUGGAGGGACAGUCACCAUCAACUGCAAAACCAGUCGGAGUGUGACGGAAAGUUCAGGUUCCAACAGUUUAAACUGGUACCAGCAGAAACCCGGACAAGCGCCUAAGCUGAUCGUUAAACAGGCCACCACCCUGAUGCCCGGGGUCCCGGCCCGAUUCAAAGGUAGUGGGUCUGGGAUGGAUUUCACUCUCACCAUCAGCAAUGUGGAAGCUGACGAUGCCGCAGAUUAUUACUGUCAGCAAGGUUAUAGCACUCCGCUCGCACAGUGCUCCAGUCCUGUACAAAAACCUCCCCCAGCUGGCUGA
Non-coding RNA from Tachyglossus aculeatus (Australian echidna), 424 nucleotides. Lineage: Eukaryota; Metazoa; Chordata; Mammalia; Monotremata; Tachyglossidae. The record is from the annotation of a RefSeq genome assembly.